Molecule: unclassified non-coding RNA, 134 nt
Organism: Microcebus murinus (gray mouse lemur)
Lineage: Eukaryota; Metazoa; Chordata; Mammalia; Primates; Cheirogaleidae
Rfam family: Y RNA
About the family: Y RNAs are components of the Ro ribonucleoprotein particle (Ro RNP), in association with Ro60 and La proteins.
Source: Ensembl
GGCCGGUCCGAUGGCAGUGGGUUAUCAGAACUUAUUAACAUUAGUCCAAUGGCAGUGAGUUAUCAGAAUUUAUUAACAUUAGUGUCACUAAAGUUGGUAUACAACACCCCACUGUUAAAUCUGACUGGCUUUAA